GAGGAAAAAAAAAAGAGAGAGAGAGAAAUAAAAGGAGGCUUUUGCUCUGCAGUUAGAUCUCUCAUUUGUGGGCAUCUGCCUACACACUUCUGCCUAUUUGAAGCAGAUCAACCCAUGUGAGCGCUACUGUGAUCAGAAUGGUGCACUUACAUACAGCCUUGCUGAUUUUGGUGAAGCAAAGGGUCUCCAAAGCUGUGCAGCAGUCACCAUGUCUUCUGUGGCAAGCUGUCCACUGAUAAAGCAAAAGAGAGGAAGAGUCCAGCUACUUCCCCUUAAAAUUACACUGAAAGUUACACAGUGCCACCAGCAUGCAGAAUCCCUUUCCAUGAUACUGUGCUCUGAGUAAGUCAAAAGAAUGACGUUUGACAGCUGUGACAUUCAUGGGCAACGCAUUUGAAAAAGAAGGCAUAAAUAUUCAGAGACAUAUUAGAAUGCUGUUCAAUGUUUGACACCAAAGCAAGACCUGAUGCCACAGGGAUCAUCAGAAUCUAGUAAACAGAAAUAUCUAAGAAGAGCAGAUGCACAUUGUGUCU
Molecule: long non-coding RNA, 533 nt
Filed under: Gallus gallus (chicken)
Lineage: Eukaryota; Metazoa; Chordata; Aves; Galliformes; Phasianidae
Source: RNAcentral